AGGCGUGAGCCACCACGCCCGGCUUGCCCCCACCCCUUAAUACUAUCAUGUCAAGUCUUAGAUUCCAACAUAUGAAUUUUGGAAAGACACAUACGUCCAAACCAUAAGAGUCACCUUAUUAGCAUAAACUCACAUAUGGCUUGAAAGGAGCUCCUUAUGUAUAAAAAAGAUGCUCCUAUCACUCACGGUAUUUCAAGAGUCUUAGGAGCUUUGUGCUGGGAACCAGAGACAAAGACCAAAUAUAUUUUUUGUUAUACCACAACCCACAGGUGAUCCUGAUGCUCAUGGCCAUGCAUUGAGAACAACUGUGUAAGAAGAUAUGGAUAAUGCUUGAAAACUACUAGUAUUAGCACCAUUUUGCAUAUACUCCAAGGAAGAUCUCAAUAAAUGCUUAAUGGAAAUAAGUAAAGGUAUGAAUGCUGGACCUAAUACAGGAGGAAGACCCAGGUGAUUUGUGUACAAUUUGGACACAAGCUCUUGCCAACCACCUGAGAGAUUCCAACAAUGAGAUGAGAUUCCUUACCUUGAACCAGAUAAUUUGGAAUGAAUGUCUAGGCAGAACUUCUGCUUCAGAAUGACCACAAUUAACUACCAGACAACCAACUUUGGGGACAUAUCAGUAGGUACGAUAACAGGGGAAUGAGCCCUAGACUUAAAAUCAGAGGAUCUCAGUUUGCAUCCUGGCUCUGUGCCUUGCUAAUUGAGAUGCUUGGGGUAAGUUGCUUGCUUGAUGGUUUUAUGCACUUAGCCAUUCAUUCAAUGCCUUUCACUGAGAAACUACUGUGUGCCUAGUACUGUGCCGUACGUUUUACACAUUAUCUCACUUAAUUAAUACAACACCUCUAGUAGAUAAUCAUCUUCCCUAUACAUAAUUUUAGAGAGGAAGAAAAAUCACAUGUUGGGGCUCUCCUAGCAAUUGUACACUUAAGUCUCCAGACUUUAUUUCCAGGGUCCUGACCUUUAAUUCCUGGGGCACAGUUAUUAUUAAUUUUCCUGCAUGACCUCUGAGACCUCAUGGGCCCAUAAAGGGAAUCAAGCUUGGAUGAAAUUUUAGAGUUGGAAAGAACAUGAGAGAUGGUCUAAUUCACCUGCAUUCAAAUGAAGAUUCAGAGUCAAGAUCCCAAAUUAGAAAAUGGGAGGUGACAUUUCCAGAAUAACUCCUUCCCUCACUCUGGGGCUCUCCAGCUUUGGCUUCUCCUGGGUCAACAGGUGGUCCGUCAGAGAGGCAACAUUCAUGGUGAGUGGUGUCCGAUCCAAGAUGUCUGCAGAGGCUGGCCAUCCUGAAGUGUUCAUUUAGAUACUAAGGACCGAUGGUCCCUGCCUCUUGCCUUCAUCUGAACCUGACACUCCAAAUCGAUGCCUAACGGAUCUUUCCAUUUUUACAUCAGACUAACCAAUUAAAAACAACCAAACAAACCUAUGUGUACUGGUGGGAGGGAAGGGGAAUGGAAAGUACUAUGCAUUUGUUAGAAGAAACCCUCAAAUGUAACUGAACUGGAUGAAAGUUAUGAAGUUCUCUAUGCACACAAACUAGAAAACCUAGAAGAAAUGGAUAAAUUUCUGGACACAUACACUUUUUCAAGUCUGAACCAGGAAGAAAUUGAUUCCCUGAACAGACCAAUAAUGGUCUCUCUAGUUGAAUUAGUAAUAAAUACCCUACCAACCAAAAAAGCCCAGGACCAGAUAGAUUCACAGCCAAAUUCUACCAAAUGUACAGAGAAGAGACGGUACAAUUCCUACUGAAACCAUUCCAAAAAAUUGAUGAGGAGGGACUCCUCCCCAGCUCAUUCUUUUUUUUUUUUUUUUUGAGAUGGAAUCUUACUCUGUCACCAGGCUGGAGUGCAGUGGCACGAUCUCAGCUCACUGCAACCUCCACCUCCCGGGUUCAAGCGAUUCUCCUGCCUCAGCCUCCCAAGUAGCUGGGACUACAGGUGCACACCACCACACCCA
RNAcentral lists this long non-coding RNA (1950 nucleotides) under Homo sapiens (human). RNAcentral describes it as "HSALNT0120180". Lineage: Eukaryota; Metazoa; Chordata; Mammalia; Primates; Hominidae. The record is from RNAcentral.